RNAcentral lists this ribosomal RNA (301 nucleotides) under uncultured bacterium. RNAcentral describes it as "partial 16S ribosomal RNA". It matches the Rfam family "Bacterial small subunit ribosomal RNA", at positions 509 to 807 of the family's 1533-position model. The record is from RNAcentral.
CAGCAGCCGCGGUAAUACGUAGGUGGCAAGCGUUGUCCGGAAUUAUUGGGCGUAAAGGGCUCGCAGGCGGUUUCUUAAGUCUGAUGUGAAAGCCCCCGGCUCAACCGGGGAGGGUCAUUGGAAACUGGGAAACUUGAGUGCAGAAGAGGAGAGUGGAAUUCCACGUGUAGCGGUGAAAUGCGUAGAGAUGUGGAGGAACACCAGUGGCGAAGGCGACUCUCUGGUCUGUAACUGACGCUGAGGAGCGAAAGCGUGGGGAGCAAACAGGAUUAGAUACCCCAGUAGUCCCUGUCUCUUAUAC